CUGGCCUGGGAGAUUUUAGGUCAAGUUUUCUUACUGUUUAUUUUAAAUAAAAAGCCAGUUCUGCGACUUGACAUCUUUUUCACACCCACCGCACAUGUUAAUCCUGCUAUUUUUUACUCAUCCAGACAGGCUCUUAGAAGAGACACCCCUCAUCCGCUGCUUCGGAAAUGCUGAGGACAUUAUCCUCCGGUUCACACCUCCCCGUGUUCAAAUCAACAGUCAGAAAUGCCUAAGCAGGACCCUGAGAGUCGUGUCAAGAUUUCCAGCUCACAUUUUGUAAGUUAACAGGUGUUUGAGGCACUCGGAAUGCAUGCAGUUCUGCAUGGCUUAAGCCCUGGAAACGGAAUCUAGCAAAAACCGCCUCGUAA
Molecule: long non-coding RNA, 368 nt
Organism: Arvicola amphibius (Eurasian water vole)
Lineage: Eukaryota; Metazoa; Chordata; Mammalia; Rodentia; Cricetidae
Exons: 3
Source: RefSeq, a predicted model, not a curated record